RNAcentral lists this ribosomal RNA (459 nucleotides) under uncultured bacterium. Its description in RNAcentral is "partial 16S ribosomal RNA". It matches the Rfam family "Bacterial small subunit ribosomal RNA", at positions 338 to 795 of the family's 1533-position model. The record is from RNAcentral.
CCUACGGGUGGCCGCAGUGAGGAAUAUUGGUCAAUGGUCGAGAGCCUGAACCAGCCAAGUCGCGUGAAGGAUGAAGGAUCUAUGGUUUGUAAACUUCUUUUAUAUGGGAAUAAAGUGAGGCACGUGUUCCUUUUUGUAUGUACCAUAUGAAUAAGCAUCGGCUAAUUCCGUGCCAGCAGCCGCGGUAAUACGGAGGAUGCGAGCGUUAUCCGGAUUUCUUGGGUUUAAAGGGUGCGCAGGCGGGAGAUAAAGUCAGCGGUAAAAUGCCGGGGCUCAACCCCGGCCGGCCGUUGAAACUGGUUUGCUAGAGUUGGAGAGAAGUAUGCGGAAUGCGUGGUGUAGCGGUGAAAUGCAUAGAUAUCACGAAGAACUCCGAUUGCGAAGGCAGCAUACCGGCUCCAUACUGACGCUGAGGCACGAAAGCGUGGGGAUCGAACAGGAUUAGAUACCCCUGUAGUC